UAUUAGAAAGCGAAAUUAUCGCAUUUAGUUUCGACCUAAACCCUUGGCCCUUAAGCCUCUAAUAA
This 65-nucleotide transfer RNA is filed under the name Scylla serrata (giant mud crab). Its description in RNAcentral is "tRNA-Arg". RNAcentral also lists the same sequence under 1 other name. The record is from RNAcentral. Lineage: Eukaryota; Metazoa; Arthropoda; Malacostraca; Decapoda; Portunidae.